Non-coding RNA from Mycena latifolia, 98 nucleotides. The record is from the annotation of a GenBank genome assembly. NCBI's taxonomy places the organism in Eukaryota, Fungi, Basidiomycota, Agaricomycetes, Agaricales, Mycenaceae.
GCGGACGUGGUGCACGGGGCACGACUGCAUUCAAUGUUAGAUCUCCCGGCGAAUUGGAUUGCACGCAGUUAGACGGGGUUCGACUCCCCGCGUCCGCA